Molecule: transfer RNA, 64 nt
Filed under: Neostylopyga rhombifolia (harlequin cockroach)
Lineage: Eukaryota; Metazoa; Arthropoda; Insecta; Blattodea; Blattidae
Description: tRNA-Leu
Source: RNAcentral
UCUAAUAUGGCAGAUAAGUGCGGUGGAUUUAAGCUCCAUAAAUAAAGAUAAACUUUUGUUAGAA